GACGAACGCUGGCGGCGUGCUUAACACAUGCAAGUCGAACGGAAAGGCCCUGCUUGUGUGGGGUGCUCGAGUGGCGAACGGGUGAGUAACACGUGAGUAACCUGCCCUUGACUUUGGGAUAACUUCAGGAAACUGGGGCUAAUACCGGAUAGGAGCUCCUGCUGCAUGGUGGGGGUUGGAAAGGUUCGGCGGUUGGGGAUGGACUCGCGGCUUGUCAGCUUGUUGGUGGGGUAGUGGCUUACCAAGGCAUUGACGGGUAGCCGGCCUGAGAGGGUGACCGGCCAAAUUGGGCUGGGGAUACGGCCCAGACUCCUCCGGGAGGGAGGAGUGGGGAAUAUUGCACUAUGGGCGGAAGCCUGGUGUAGCAACGCCGCGUGGGGGAUGACGGCAUUCGGGUUGUAAUCCGCUUUCGCCUGUGACGAAGCGUGAGUGACGGUAAUGGGUAAAGAAGCACCGGCUAACUACGUG
RNAcentral lists this ribosomal RNA (468 nucleotides) under uncultured bacterium. Its description in RNAcentral is "partial 16S ribosomal RNA". It matches the Rfam family "Bacterial small subunit ribosomal RNA", at positions 28 to 507 of the family's 1533-position model. The record is from RNAcentral.